Non-coding RNA from Lonchura striata (white-rumped munia), 812 nucleotides. NCBI's taxonomy places the organism in Eukaryota, Metazoa, Chordata, Aves, Passeriformes, Estrildidae. The record is from RefSeq and is a predicted model, not a curated record.
UCCCAGCAGAAGCUGUUCCUGUCAGAACUUGCAGCAAAUGGGAGAAGAUGGGAAAGUGGGGGACGUUUUCCAGCAUCAGGGAAUUUGUGGGUGAUGAAAACAAGAUUUCCAGCAGUCCUUUUGCACUAGUCUUGGUUUGUAAAGAGGUAUUCUGCUGUUUUCCUGCCAUUCUUCCCUUCCCUUGAAUUCCUUCUGAAAAUCAGCAGAGUUGGGAAUAACUUCACUGAUACAAAAUUCCCAAAAGUUACCUGAAAGUGUGCAGCUGGACAGAAGAAAAAGAAACCCAGAGCGGAAUCCCCACGAGUGGAAGAAAAAAGCAGAAUAAGGAGGCUCAGUUCUGUAGUUUAUUGAGCCCAGAGGGAUUUCUACAAACCACAUGGCAUCAGGUGUCAAAUGAGGAAUGAAAACCAAGGUGGAACAAUGGAGCAGCCUAAAACUCCCACCGCCCAGCGAGCUCCAGAAAUGUUGGAGAGGCUUAAAUGGCCCCUUAAUGUGCAUCUGCUGGCCACGAGCAGCCUGGUCAAAGUCCUGAGUCAUGUCAUGGGUGUUCUUUCCUUGGACAGGGAGACUCUGCACGUCCUGUGGAGUCCAGGAGUCACAGAAAACAGAGACUGAUGAAAGAUGGUUCCGGGCUGGGAUUUUGGAGAGACUCAACCAGAGCCUGAUUGGAUCCUCCAUCCUGCCUGGAGCUGUGCCACCUCCUUUCCAUUUCUAAAGAUAACUGUGUUUGGAGAAGCUGUUACGUCUUUCUGUCACUCCAUAGCACAGGGUGCUGCAGAACAGAAUGAAGAAAAGCAGCUGAAGAAAGGAAA